Long non-coding RNA from Oncorhynchus gorbuscha (pink salmon), 285 nucleotides. RefSeq lists it as uncharacterized. The transcript is spliced from 3 exons. The record is from RefSeq and is a predicted model, not a curated record. NCBI's taxonomy places the organism in Eukaryota, Metazoa, Chordata, Actinopteri, Salmoniformes, Salmonidae.
UGUUCCUGUCAUUUCAAUGUAAACAGGAAAAGGACCUGAUGUUCCUGUCAUUGACCAGUUUGGGUUCCAGGUUCCCACUUGCUGUGGAUACCUCCCUCAGGAGAAUGAGUGGCAGAGUGACUGGGUGACAUUCUACUCUCAGCACAGACUACAGCACCAACUCAACAUGGUGGAGAAGUCUUAUGGAGACAGAGAGGCCAGGGAACUAUGGUCCCAGCUACAGGUAACUAUGUAACUACAGGGAACUAUGGUCCCAGCUACAGGUAACUAUGUAACUAGGUAACU